UGGGGAAUAUUGCACAAUGGGCGCAAGCCUGAUGCAGCCAUGCCGCGUGUGUGAAGAAGGUCUUCGGGUUGUAAAGCACUUUUGUCCGGAAAGAAAUCCUUGGCUCUAAUACAGUCGGGGGAUGACGGUACCGGAAGAAUAAGCACCGGCUAACUACGUGCCAGCAGCCGCGGUAAUACGUAGGGUGCAAGCGUUAAUCGGAAUUACUGGGCGUAAAGCGUGCGCAGGCGGUUUGCUAAGACCGAUGUGAAAUCCCCGGGCUCAACCUGGGAACUGCAUUGGUGACUGGCAGGCUAGAGUAUGGCAGAGGGGGGUAGAAUUCCACGUGUAGCAGUGAAAUGCGUAGAGAUGUGGAGGAAUACCGAUGGCGAAGGCAGCCCCCUGGGCCAAUACUGACGCUCAUGCACGAAAGCGUGGGGAGCAAACAGGAUUAGAUACCCUGGUAGUCCACGCCCUAAACGAUGUCAACUAGUUGUUGGGAUUCAUUUCCUUAGUAACGUAGCUAACGCGUGAAGUUGACCGCCUGGGGAGUACGGUCGCAAGAUUAAAA
Molecule: ribosomal RNA, 550 nt
Filed under: uncultured bacterium
Lineage: Bacteria
Description: partial 16S ribosomal RNA
Rfam family: Bacterial small subunit ribosomal RNA
Source: RNAcentral